CUGUAAAUCGGAUUAGGGCUUAGGGGAGGGAGCUGUUUUAUAUGAAAUUUGUGCACUGAUAGAAUGGACAUUGAAUGCGCAAUAACAGGCAGGACACACUCUUGAGGACAAGGGUGACAAGCAAAACAGAAUGCCAUGUUCCCCAUGUGGGAUGAAGCAGAGUGGAAUGUGAUGCAUUUGAUGCAGACAAACUCUUUUCUUUGGGGUUUUCUGCAUUCGUCUAAAAAAAAAAGUCUGGAGAAAGAGAUUGAGAGUUCUGCAAAGCACACAUACACCUACACUGUACUGUGAGACCCAGACUGACAGCUAUUACAGUGAUGAUCAACAUCGCUGUCAGUUGUCCACUUAAACACUUAGGGGUUGUGUUUCCAUAUGCCGGCUGGUCAUGGUUUCAGAAUGGAGUCAGCAUAUCAUCACAUCUCAGAUAUUGAUAAAAACAACAUGGUGUUUUACCUUGUUGACUUCAUGAAGCCUUCUUCACUCCCUUCGUACUCUCAGCUCUUCCAAAGCUAAUUCUGUUCAAAGACAGAGUGGUGUGGACGGGUGUAAGUGGCCUCUUGUAUAAAUGGACUCUGAGAGGCUAGCUACCUUAGAAAAGUGUUGUAGUUCUUUUACUAUGACCAAAAAAUGUCACCACUGAAAAAACAAGGUUAGGAAUAGAGAAAAGAUCUUCAAGAAAAUGGUCUAUAUUAGACAUAAUUUGAGGACUGCAUUGUGUGCAGAGUCCUGUCAAGCUUCAUUAGUGCUUACAGCAAUGACAUGGCUGUUUAUCUUUGAAUACUCAUUUAAUUAAAGGUAAACGAAUCAAGGAGGGAUGCAUGCUCAUCAGGUAAUGUGUCUACAAAUCCAAAACUCAGAGCAGACAAUUUGUGAUCCAUUUUAAAUAUUGAAAGGAUAAAAAUAUUAGUUUAAUUGUAAAAAAAAAAAAAAAAAA
Oryzias melastigma (Indian medaka) is the source of this 934-nucleotide long non-coding RNA. RefSeq lists it as uncharacterized. NCBI's taxonomy places the organism in Eukaryota, Metazoa, Chordata, Actinopteri, Beloniformes, Adrianichthyidae. The transcript has 2 exons. The record is from RefSeq and is a predicted model, not a curated record.